GGAGGAAAAGGAUAGGGCCUCUGGCCCCGGCUGUUCAAUUCGUUUCCCGGGUUUACAAAAACCGAAAUGACUAGUACUUGGUAUGAAUGCCCAAUGGUGUCUUUCAGCUGUUGGUUUCUAUCUCAGGUUUUCAUGCAAGAAGCACGGCGAUAACUGUCUUUUGUAGCCAUUGAGACAAUGCAAUUUGCAACAAUUUCAGUAUGGGUAUCGAGUAAAGUUACUAAUGAGAACAAUGGUAUACUGCAGGAGGUGGUCUUAAUGCAGGUAAAUCUUGUUAACAAAGAAAUUUGCAGUCCGUUGAUAAAGAGCUUUCUUACUUGAGCUCAUCGUAGCAUCUCCAGGUGCUGGAUUUCGAGAUUGGUGCAUCGAAUGUUACUGAUGUUUUCUUCGAGGACUUUCUAACCCGGUUGAGGGGACUGCUGCGGGUAGAGAGCUUAUAAAGCGCGAAGCAUGUGUUGAUAUAAUGGAUCUUCUAUAUGAAACAGAAGUGACAUCAGUUCUGUACAAUUCUCCCCAUUUUCUUGCUGCAGCUAUUCUGGCAUGUCUCUUUCUCAUC
Papaver somniferum (opium poppy) is the source of this 556-nucleotide long non-coding RNA. RefSeq lists it as uncharacterized. The record is from RefSeq and is a predicted model, not a curated record. Lineage: Eukaryota; Viridiplantae; Streptophyta; Magnoliopsida; Ranunculales; Papaveraceae. The transcript is spliced from 4 exons.